RNAcentral lists this unclassified non-coding RNA (337 nucleotides) under soil metagenome. RNAcentral describes it as "partial contains 5.8S ribosomal RNA, internal transcribed spacer 2, and large subunit ribosomal RNA". The stretch from base 1 to 120 matches the Rfam family "5.8S ribosomal RNA", at positions 35 to 154 of the family's 154-position model. The record is from RNAcentral.
GAUGAAGAACGUAGCGAAAUGCGAUAAGUAGUGUGAAUUGCAGAAUUCAGUGAAUCAUCGAAUCUUUGAACGCACAUUGCGCCCUUUGGUAUUCCUUAGGGCAUGCCUGUUCGAGCGUCAUUACACCACUCAAGCUAUGCUUGGUAUUGGGCGUCGUCCUUAGUUGGGCGCGCCUUAAAGACCUCGGCGAGGCCACUCCGGCUUUAGGCGUAGUAGAAUUUAUUCGAACGUCUGUCAAAGGAGAGGAACUCUGCCGACUGAAACCUUUAUUUUUCUAGGUUGACCUCGGAUCAGGUAGGGAUACCCGCUGAACUUAAGCAUAUCAAUAAGCGGAGGA